This 301-nucleotide long non-coding RNA is filed under the name Elaeis guineensis (African oil palm). RNAcentral's name for it is "long non-coding RNA (EGUI_LNC033224)". The record is from RNAcentral. Lineage: Eukaryota; Viridiplantae; Streptophyta; Magnoliopsida; Arecales; Arecaceae.
GGGUUGUUGUGUUCAUCUCUUCCCUUCCUCGAUCUUGAGUUUUCUGAGAGCAUCUCAGAUUUGAAACUCCUUCUCUUAAUUCUCAUCUUUGGAAGAGUCCAAAUCAAGAAGAAAGAGGCACCUGAUCAACCAUCGAAGAAGGAUCAGCGCAGUACUAGCAUACUGUGCUGAUUUUCUGGAGCAGGACUUCUGAUCGAGAUUCAUGAGCUCGUGUGGAUGACUCCUAGAGGUCGGACGCGUGUGCAGCUCGCAACAUCAUCCUUAAGCCUGGAUCAGUAAGGUUAGAACGUUUAACUUGCAA